RNAcentral lists this non-coding RNA (121 nucleotides) under Candidatus Acetothermia bacterium. Its description in RNAcentral is "Acetothermia bacterium MoCo sequence". It matches the Rfam family "Molybdenum/Tungsten riboswitch aptamer (Moco RNA motif)". The record is from RNAcentral. Lineage: Bacteria; Candidatus Bipolaricaulota.
CGCCUGCGGAAUCUCCGACCCGUGACUCCUACGGGCGCCCGCCUAGGGAGCACGGGCGAUAGGGUAUGGCUGGAAACGGCCAUGCCUCCCGUGUUUGGAAAGGAGGUUCGACGUGAGAGGG